UCGCCUGUUUAUCAAAAACAUCGCCUCUUGACCCCCCAUAAGAGGUCUGGCCUGCCCAGUGACUUUAGUUCAACGGCCGCGGUAUCCUAACCGUGCGAAGGUAGCGUAAUCACUUGUCCUUUAAAUAGGGACCUGUAUCAAUGGCAUAACGAAGGCUAUACUGUCUCCUUACUCCAAUCAGUGAAACUGAUCUCCCCGUGAAAAAGCAGGGAUAAAACUAUUAGACGAGAAGACCCCAUGGAGCUUUAAGCCCAGCAACAACCUCCCUCCCCUACUCCCUUUUAAAUUUAAAGACCUUGAUUGCCGCUUUAGGUUGGGGCGACCACGAAGUAUACUAAAACCUUCACGAUAAACGGAGCUUGCUCCUUAUCCACGAGCUACCCCUCUAAGAAUCAGAAUACUGAUAUAACAUGAUCCGAUUUAAUUGAUCAACGAACCAAGUUACCCUGGGGAUAACAGCGCAAUCCAUUUAAAGAGUUCAUAUCGACAAAUGGGUUUACGACCUCGAUGUUGGAUCAGGGUAUCCUAGUGGUGCAACCGCUACUAAAGGUUCGUUUGUUCAACGAUUAAAACCCUACGUGAUCUGAGUUCAGACCGGA
This 599-nucleotide ribosomal RNA is filed under the name Petropedetes vulpiae. RNAcentral's name for it is "partial 16S ribosomal RNA". It matches the Rfam family "Bacterial large subunit ribosomal RNA", at positions 1796 to 2620 of the family's 2925-position model. Lineage: Eukaryota; Metazoa; Chordata; Amphibia; Anura; Petropedetidae. The record is from RNAcentral.